AUCCUUGUGCCGAACGGUUUGAAUGUCUCUGCUUGGAAAUUUGAUGUCAUUUCCAAACAAGACAGAUAUACUGUGGUUUACAUUCGGAAUGAUACCUGCGAUUCUAAGACCCGUGAAGUAACGGAACCGCGGAUCCUGUCGGAAAACCUUUAACCUGGCAGUUAUCAAAUCAGGGUUUUUGAUAUACGCCAUGGUCUGUGGAGUGAGCCGAACACUAACUUUCAAGUUGUCUAUAAACGAAAGUUCAGCACGUAACUUCAGUGUGGUGGCUACCAGAUCAUCUUACGUGGUCUGCCCCAUUUGAUUCUAUCUACACCAAUUACGUCACUCGGCGGUAUAACAUUAUUAAUCUAAUAUAUUAAUUACUUCAAAUUGUCAUUUCUUAUUCUUUCAUAUAUCGUGCGGCUGAUAAUGUCAUUUGGAGUGAAUUGAGUUCAGUCAUCAGUACGGAUAAAGAAAAGAAACAACUGACUGUUGGCGAACGUUACGUCGUUUUAAUUAAUUCUGCUAGUCUCUCAGUAGAGAGUGCUUCAUCCAUCAAAGAAAGCCAAUCCAGGUAUCAGUCAGGGUCGGUGGAACUAAAAUCGGCGAUUGAUUGACUUCAUUGAGCGGUAGCAUUCGCAGCUGCCAACUGAAGUAAUUACUCAUUUUAUUUUGUGAGUGCGUAUGAAUUGUCUUGAUGACGCGUUGUCUUUUGACUUUAACAUUAGGGUGGAAUUUCA
This is a long non-coding RNA of Daphnia pulex (common water flea), 722 nucleotides long. RefSeq lists it as uncharacterized. The record is from RefSeq and is a predicted model, not a curated record. The transcript is spliced from 3 exons. NCBI's taxonomy places the organism in Eukaryota, Metazoa, Arthropoda, Branchiopoda, Diplostraca, Daphniidae.